Non-coding RNA from Taeniopygia guttata (zebra finch), 1383 nucleotides. The record is from RefSeq and is a predicted model, not a curated record. Lineage: Eukaryota; Metazoa; Chordata; Aves; Passeriformes; Estrildidae.
CAGUUCCCUUUAGGAAAAUCUUAUUAACAUUCACAAAAGAAACAAUAAUGUGCCACAGAAGCCAUAUGAAAUUCUGCUGAAGAAAAUGUCACGCUAGGAAUAGAGUGAAUAAUGAUGACUGGAGGUUUCAAAGGCAGACGACUGGUAUGGAUGAGGAUUGCAAGGAGUUCAGGAAAAGAGAGGUUCCUGCUGCCAAGUAAAUCUCCCCCUCAGGGUGGAAAGCUGUCAUCCUGCCUCCAUUAGGAUUUCCCUUCCCUUCCCUUCUCUUCUGCCUAACAUUGAUGAACAUUCAAACAAUGCUCUUUAAACAACUUUGCAGGUCCAAUAAAUGUCAGACAUUUGCAUUUGUCCUGAAGACUCUGAGCUGGCUGCUGCAAGAAGGGUUUGAGUGACACCUGGGAGGUUGCUCAACACCCAUUUUUCUUUUCUUCAGCCUCUGCCGUCAGAUCCAAACUGCUCUAAACAGGGAGGCUGAAUCAUGCAAUGAAUUUUCCACCCGAAGGGAUAGGGGGAGGGAAUUGUUUUCUCCAGCUUCUUUCAAAGCUGGAUGAUAAAUAACUCUCCUUUUUGCAUCAGACCUCAUCACUUCAGCAAGGAGAGCACCCAGCUUCCUGCAUUGCAGGUUUCAAAGGGGGCAGUUUCUAAGCCAUGUCUUGCAAAGCUUAGCCUAGAAAAAAGAGUGGAUAGAGAUGGGAUGCUCUGUCCAUGUCAGAUAAUCCAGAUAUCCACCAGGCAUCUCUGGUGCUGCCUAACAUCUUCUGUGGGUCUCUCCAACCUCUCCCCCCAUUGAAUCCUUUAAUUGAACUAAGCCUUCACCUUUCCUACUCCACACACAGUGUUUCCUGGAGGUUUUGGUGAUUUUUAUUUUUUUUCCCCAAGCAUCCUCUUGGACAUGAUGGAAUAACUCAGCUCCAGCACUGUCUCCCCUUCCAAAAUUUGGACAUAUAUUCAUCUUUGCUAUGAAAUCUGAUCUUUUUACUCAAGUUAAUUCAGAAGCAGGAAAUGUAAUCCUUCAAAAAGCCCAGAUUGCUGAAAUUGCCUCUGCUGUCUAGAAUACAUUAUAUAAGGACAUCUAAACUCAGAAGGUCCUGUCUGUUUUUCAGUGUUUUUACACAUACAUUCUUUUUUCACAGUCUUGCUGUUAUGUGGUAAUUGAAAGGACAAAACAAAACCAUCCAGUCAUCUUUCAACAUCUUAGUCCAACUGCCCAGAUUACCACAGAGUCCCUAAUCUUCACCUGUACCUUGGCUGAAGGCUAACACAUCAUUGGAAAAAAAGUGAAACUGUGAAAUGUGAAUUCCUUGUAUUAAGAAAAUAAAUGCAACACUACUUAAUUAAUUCCGUCCCUCUCACAAGGAAAAAGAAAUAAAUAUUUAUAAGCAC